RNAcentral lists this ribosomal RNA (2933 nucleotides) under Escherichia coli. RNAcentral's name for it is "bacterial LSU rRNA". It matches the Rfam family "Bacterial large subunit ribosomal RNA". Lineage: Bacteria; Pseudomonadati; Pseudomonadota; Gammaproteobacteria; Enterobacterales; Enterobacteriaceae. The record is from RNAcentral.
GGGUUGUGAGGUUAAGCGACUAAGCGUACACGGUGGAUGCCCUGGCAGUCAGAGGCGAUGAAGGACGUGCUAAUCUGCGAUAAGCGUCGGUAAGGUGAUAUGAACCGUUAUAACCGGCGAUUUCCGAAUGGGGAAACCCAGUGUGAUUCGUCACACUAUCAUUAACUGAAUCCAUAGGUUAAUGAGGCGAACCGGGGGAACUGAAACAUCUAAGUACCCCGAGGAAAAGAAAUCAACCGAGAUUCCCCCAGUAGCGGCGAGCGAACGGGGAGCAGCCCAGAGCCUGAAUCAGUGUGUGUGUUAGUGGAAGCGUCUGGAAAGGCGCGCGAUACAGGGUGACAGCCCCGUACACAAAAAUGCACAUGCUGUGAGCUCGAUGAGUAGGGCGGGACACGUGGUAUCCUGUCUGAAUAUGGGGGGACCAUCCUCCAAGGCUAAAUACUCCUGACUGACCGAUAGUGAACCAGUACCGUGAGGGAAAGGCGAAAAGAACCCCGGCGAGGGGAGUGAAAAAGAACCUGAAACCGUGUACGUACAAGCAGUGGGAGCACAGAGCAAUCUGUGUGACUGCGUACCUUUUGUAUAAUGGGUCAGCGACUUAUAUUCUGUAGCAAGGUUAACCGAAUAGGGGAGCCGAAGGGAAACCGAGUCUUAACUGGGCGUUAAGUUGCAGGGUAUAGACCCGAAACCCGGUGAUCUAGCCAUGGGCAGGUUGAAGGUUGGGUAACACUAACUGGAGGACCGAACCGACUAAUGUUGAAAAAUUAGCGGAUGACUUGUGGCUGGGGGUGAAAGGCCAAUCAAACCGGGAGAUAGCUGGUUCUCCCCGAAAGCUAUUUAGGUAGCGCCUCGUGAAUUCAUCUCCGGGGGUAGAGCACUGUUUCGGCAAGGGGGUCAUCCCGACUUACCAACCCGAUGCAAACUGCGAAUACCGGAGAAUGUUAUCACGGGAGACACACGGCGGGUGCUAACGUCCGUCGUGAAGAGGGAAACAACCCAGACCGCCAGCUAAGGUCCCAAAGUCAUGGUUAAGUGGGAAACGAUGUGGGAAGGCCCAGACAGCCAGGAUGUUGGCUUAGAAGCAGCCAUCAUUUAAAGAAAGCGUAAUAGCUCACUGGUCGAGUCGGCCUGCGCGGAAGAUGUAACGGGGCUAAACCAUGCACCGAAGCUGCGGCAGCGACGCUUAUGCGUUGUUGGGUAGGGGAGCGUUCUGUAAGCCUGCGAAGGUGUGCUGUGAGGCAUGCUGGAGGUAUCAGAAGUGCGAAUGCUGACAUAAGUAACGAUAAAGCGGGUGAAAAGCCCGCUCGCCGGAAGACCAAGGGUUCCUGUCCAACGUUAAUCGGGGCAGGGUGAGUCGACCCCUAAGGCGAGGCCGAAAGGCGUAGUCGAUGGGAAACAGGUUAAUAUUCCUGUACUUGGUGUUACUGCGAAGGGGGGACGGAGAAGGCUAUGUUGGCCGGGCGACGGUUGUCCCGGUUUAAGCGUGUAGGCUGGUUUUCCAGGCAAAUCCGGAAAAUCAAGGCUGAGGCGUGAUGACGAGGCACUACGGUGCUGAAGCAACAAAUGCCCUGCUUCCAGGAAAAGCCUCUAAGCAUCAGGUAACAUCAAAUCGUACCCCAAACCGACACAGGUGGUCAGGUAGAGAAUACCAAGGCGCUUGAGAGAACUCGGGUGAAGGAACUAGGCAAAAUGGUGCCGUAACUUCGGGAGAAGGCACGCUGAUAUGUAGGUGAAGUCCCUCGCGGAUGGAGCUGAAAUCAGUCGAAGAUACCAGCUGGCUGCAACUGUUUAUUAAAAACACAGCACUGUGCAAACACGAAAGUGGACGUAUACGGUGUGACGCCUGCCCGGUGCCGGAAGGUUAAUUGAUGGGGUCAGCGCAAGCGAAGCUCUUGAUCGAAGCCCCGGUAAACGGCGGCCGUAACUAUAACGGUCCUAAGGUAGCGAAAUUCCUUGUCGGGUAAGUUCCGACCUGCACGAAUGGCGUAAUGAUGGCCAGGCUGUCUCCACCCGAGACUCAGUGAAAUUGAACUCGCUGUGAAGAUGCAGUGUACCCGCGGCAAGACGGAAAGACCCCGUGAACCUUUACUAUAGCUUGACACUGAACAUUGAGCCUUGAUGUGUAGGAUAGGUGGGAGGCUUUGAAGUGUGGACGCCAGUCUGCAUGGAGCCGACCUUGAAAUACCACCCUUUAAUGUUUGAUGUUCUAACGUUGACCCGUGAUCCGGGUUGCGGACAGUGUCUGGUGGGUAGUUUGACUGGGGCGGUCUCCUCCUAAAGAGUAACGGAGGAGCACGAAGGUUGGCUAAUCCUGGUCGGACAUCAGGAGGUUAGUGCAAUGGCAUAAGCCAGCUUGACUGCGAGCGUGACGGCGCGAGCAGGUGCGAAAGCAGGUCAUAGUGAUCCGGUGGUUCUGAAUGGAAGGGCCAUCGCUCAACGGAUAAAAGGUACUCCGGGGAUAACAGGCUGAUACCGCCCAAGAGUUCAUAUCGACGGCGGUGUUUGGCACCUCGAUGUCGGCUCAUCACAUCCUGGGGCUGAAGUAGGUCCCAAGGGUAUGGCUGUUCGCCAUUUAAAGUGGUACGCGAGCUGGGUUUAGAACGUCGUGAGACAGUUCGGUCCCUAUCUGCCGUGGGCGCUGGAGAACUGAGGGGGGCUGCUCCUAGUACGAGAGGACCGGAGUGGACGCAUCACUGGUGUUCGGGUUGUCAUGCCAAUGGCACUGCCCGGUAGCUAAAUGCGGAAGAGAUAAGUGCUGAAAGCAUCUAAGCACGAAACUUGCCCCGAGAUGAGUUCUCCCUGACUCCUUGAGAGUCCUGAAGGAACGUUGAAGACGACGACGUUGAUAGGCCGGGUGUGUAAGCGCAGCGAUGCGUUGAGCUAACCGGUACUAAUGAACCGUGAGGCUUAACCUUACAACGCCGAAGGUGUUU